GGGCUCGUAGCUCAGUUGGUUAGAGCGCUUCGUUGACAUCGAAGAGGUCUGCAGUUCGAAUCUGCACGGGCCCACCA
Molecule: transfer RNA, 77 nt
Filed under: Candidatus Buchananbacteria bacterium RIFCSPHIGHO2_01_FULL_46_12
Lineage: Bacteria; Candidatus Buchananiibacteriota
Also listed under: 2 other names
Description: tRNA-Val
Rfam family: tRNA
About the family: Transfer RNA (tRNA) molecules are approximately 80 nucleotides in length.
Source: RNAcentral